AUGUUGCUCAAAGUCACGGAGGUUCACGACCAUUCACGGAGUAUAGGCAAUUUUUGGAACAUAAGUUUGGACCUGAGAAUAAUGAACACAUAUGCUGUGAUGAAAUCUGGUAUGAAAAACCAUGAUGAAAAUGGCAAUAGUGGUGCAAUCAGCAGCCAGAAAGCACAAAAACGCCUUGAUGAUUAUUCUACUGGUAUGAAGGUAGCAUAUCCAGAGAAUUGGCAGGACAUAGAUUUGGAUGAAAGGGUCUUGUACAACACAUCGGGUGGCAUGCCUCAUGGCCGUGUAGCGAUUGCAUCUGGUGUUGUGAAGAAAGCUGUUGUUCUUUCUGCUGCCAGGGCAACAAAUCUGAAGCCAUCUAUUUCCACUGCUUACCGGAAUGCUAUCCAAGAGAAUGAACAAUUGCGUAGUACAGAUGAGAGUCUAAAAAGGAAAACAGAAAUUCAUGACCAAAUGUUCAAGAUGCUUUUUGCAAAGAUGGGAGAAGAGCUACCGGAGUGGUUCCUUCAGGGUCAAUCUAAUGCUCAUACACAGGGAAACACCAAUUCAUCCCAUGUUAGUUCAGGCGAUGGCCCUAUGGACCAUGAGGUCGGGCAUGACAAUAUUGAAGGCAACAAACGAUGGUGA
Molecule: ribosomal RNA, 627 nt
Filed under: Triticum aestivum (bread wheat)
Lineage: Eukaryota; Viridiplantae; Streptophyta; Magnoliopsida; Poales; Poaceae
Description: partial small subunit ribosomal RNA
Source: RNAcentral